UCCUCCCAGCUCCCAAUCAUUCCCCCAGCCCCAGCAGCUUCUCCUGGGGCUGCCAGCACUGUCUGCUUCGUCCCGGGGGGGUGGGGGAGGGAGAACAGCCAAGGCAGUAGCUGAAUGAGCCGCAGUUUCUCUCAGCUGCUCCCACCAGUACUGCCUAGUGCCUGCCUGUACAGUCUGAGGCUUCCAAUUUAAUUCAGAGAAAUUAAUAGGUCUCCUGAUUCAAUCUGGAUUCAGAUAUUUGGCUGCCGAAUUGGGCCAAAUCUCCUCUGAAUCGAAUCGGCUACUGAAGCUUUGCACAACCCCAAUAUCCCCCUCACUGAACGUAAAGAGUGGUCUGGGAGUGAAAGGGAAAUUAAUUUUUAAAGUCUCACUUGGUAUUGUGGGAGGCAAACAUGGUUUCACAACAGGUAUUUAGGGUAAGCUGGGGCACCCAAUCAGUAGUAUGCCAGACCUACUAGUUGCCAGAAGACAACUUUUGAGAGCUCCCCAUAAACUCAAGGUAACAAUUCGGUUCUGAAGUUAUUUGACAGAUUUAUCAGAUCUUCAGCAGUCCUAAAGCAUUUGCAAUUAUCAUUCAGUGGACAACAAGUGAAACAACAUAUUAAUACUGAGAUUUUUCAAGGGGCCCAAAAGAAGGACAUUUCCAACUGUAUCUUCCUCUCAUGCCUUUGAAAAGCUCAACCAACACUUCUUAUUUGAUCACUAGUAUUAUGUCACCACUGUCUCUUUAGGGUAACUCCUCUAGCUACUGCUUAGUUUAGUCUUUCAUUUGCAGACCCCUAAAAAAUUUCAGAUGGAGGUGCAGGCACCUUUGGAAAUUUUGAAUAGAGAUGCAGACCCCUCUGAAUUGUAAGUGUGGGUAUUCACAUACUUUUGACUGAUCAUAAUCAUCUUUUGGAGACCCCUUAGACAUAAUCUGUGGACCUCCAGGGGUCUGUGGACCACAGAUUGAAAACCACUGUAGUAAGUGACUUUAUUACUAAUCCUAAAUUCUUUGAAAGUUUGCAAAGAUGCCCAGGAUACCAAAUAAAUGAUACUAUGGUAAUAGUGAUUACAUUAAGCAGUAUUAUCUUAACAUUAUUUUAAAAAUAAAUAAGACAUAAUCUGGUUUUUAAUAAUGGUUUUGCAGGUGGUGCUGGGCAACUGGAGGAAAAUCUUGAAAAACCACUGAAUACGAAUCACUAAGUGGUGAUCUAUAUUUACAUAUUUAACUUUCCCCAUAUUCUCUAUUUUUAAUAAACACUGCAUCAAGACAGUUCCUAACUGUGCUGCUGUUUAGUCUCUUAACCUACAUAAAUAAUCCUUUCUAGAUGCAUGAUUACAAACAUUUGCUAUGAAUAUGGCAUUCACAGGAACACAAUCUGAAGUGUGGCCCAACCACUGAAAUAGUGAAUUUUAGCAAGGGGUAGAGAAGAGAGAAAAUUCAUAUGUGCCAUUUGUGAAAAGACCAAUAGAAAAUAGUGCUCGUGGAAAAUUGUUUCAAAUAUGGCUUCAAAAUUUUCCACAAGGGAAAAGCAUAUUCUUUUUUCUUUCAACACUUGUCUCUUUCAACACAGCUCUUUUUCAACUGUUCUUCAAUUUUUAUUGAAGAACUGCUAAUUCUCAGCAUAAAACAAAAACAGGACAUGGAUAGGAAGUUGUCCCAUUUUCUUCAAAGAUAGCAUUUUUUCAGCUAUCCUCUAAAAGGGAAUUACACAGUGUGUACUCAGAAAAGGAUUUAUCCGAGGAAGCAUUUUCCAUAAAGAGACAACCAACAACGCAGGAAGAACAUGAACUGAGAUGAGCAAUAGGAUGAUAUAGCUGAUAGAAAGAAACACAAUCUGUUUUAAACUUAGUACGAACAAAUCUGUAUAAAAGCCUAGGAAAAUCUUUGGUUUCAAAUGCACAGUGUUAUACAAUUUCUUUCAAAGAAUAAGGCUAUUAUUUUGCUGGAAGCCUAUAUAGCCCUGGAAACUCUAGCACAGGGCUGCCCAACUUCUAAGGGUCCAGGCAGCACCAGCAAGAGCCACAUACCACAUGAACAGCACCAGCAGCAGCCACAGCCCUCCUAGGCUGCAUGCCCCAUGCACAUGCAGGCAGGCUCCUUCCACACCAUUGUACUGUGGAUGCAUGUGUGGGCGCUCCCCUCCUCUACUGCACCACCCAUGCAUGUGGGCGCCCUCCACCCUGCUUCACCGAGCACACAGGGAGGUGCUCCCCUACAUCUCCACCUCACCUUUUUCUCCCUGUCAUAUCCCCUGUGGCAGUGUGCUGCAGGGUGCUCUGGGCUGCCAGUUCCCCCAGCACCAUGGCCUGUAUUGUGCUGUGCAGGGCUGUCCUGGCCCCUGGGGCAUGCAGCAGAAGCUGGGGGAGGACCAGGGAGUCCUGAGCCCCUGGCUGCUGCUGAAGCCAGAGUAAGAGGGGCAGUGGCAGCCAGGCAGGAGCCCGGGAGCGAUGUGUUACCCACCCACUGUGGGCCGCAUGUGGUACGUAGACCAAUCCGUUGGAUAGCCCUGCUCUAGCAUAAUGCCAGAAUGUAAUGACCCAGCAGGAGCUGAAAGAAUACACAGUACACUUAAAAUGCAACAGGCCACAUUAGGACAGGAAAUAAACAUUAGGACGUUCAGCUGUUCUGCAGACACUUGGCAUAAAACUAAGCGUACUCUAUUUGGCUAAUUUUCUGCUGUGCCCUUCAGGUUGUAUCAAAAGGCAUUUUAAACAGUAAUUUAAACUCAUUCCAUGACAAGGCUCAGCAGUUUUCCUCAUGUAAAAUAUUACCAUUUCUGGGCAGAAGGUUAAAAUAAAUAUUAUGAAAUGGGCAUGUUAUUUAUUUCCAUCUAUUAUAAAUGCAGCCAUCAAUACAUGGCUGAAUGAGUGUACAAAGCCAUACACAAAAUCUAAUAUUGCCAAAAUGAAGCAAAAUGCAGUCCCCCAAAAACACACCCCACCUUCCUUCACAUAGGUCUGAGUAAACAGAUGAGCUUUGCACUGUCCUGAAGGGCAACAACUCGGGCUGUGUCAGAAUAACAGCGAAGCUAAUUCAGUGGAUAGUCCACAAAACUAGAAAACAGUCUGGGAACGGGUCCCAGACAUUCCACUCGGAGAGCUCCUGGCGAGAGCACAUCAGAUGAUCUCAGCUGCCACAUUGAUGCAUGGGGGAGGGAAGGUGGUAAAAAAAGGGCUGCCUUCAAGUGAUACAGAAAGGAACCAAUGUGAAGUCAGGACUCCUGAGUUCUUCACUAGCUCUACCUUUAUUUGCUGUGUGGCUCUAUGUAAGCCAUUUAACAGAGUUAUGAGUUCAUUUAUCCGCAAUUAACCUGGAUUUUAUUCUUAACAAGAGUCGCAUGUUUUAAUUUUUGAAAAUUCUUGAAAAGCAGCACCAGUCAGAAAAGAAAAGGAUGGAUUAUAUUAUAAUGGACACACAGAAAAGCAGAGGUCUGACAAAGUAUAUCAUCCCAGUCAGACUAGAAGUAGAGAAGUCCACAGCAUAUGGCAGAAUAACUACAGCAAGCUAUGACACUGACUAACCCAGGAAGUGGUUUCCUACUAGCACCAUCAUCUUACUGUAAGGAAGGCACAAAGGAAAGGAAGUGACAAUAAAGAAAUACGAUCAGAAGAUGUGUGUGUGUCUGGCUCCCUAAUUGAAGUGGUCAGUAAUAAAGCCUUUUACAAAUAG
This is a long non-coding RNA of Alligator sinensis (Chinese alligator), 3655 nucleotides long. RefSeq lists it as uncharacterized. The transcript is spliced from 2 exons. The record is from RefSeq and is a predicted model, not a curated record. Lineage: Eukaryota; Metazoa; Chordata; Crocodylia; Alligatoridae.